GUCGAACGAGAAAGCGGGGGCGACCCCGUGAGUAGAGUGGCGUACGGGUGAGUAACACGUGGGUGAUCUACCCUUGAGUGGGGAAUAACCCUGGGAAACCGGGGCUAAUACCGCAUAAUCCCGGGAGGGGAAAGUCGCAAGACGCUGAAGGAGGAGCCCGCGGCCGAUUAGCUAGUUGGUGGGGUAACGGCCCACCAAGGCGGAUGAUCGGUAGCCGGCCUGAGAGGGCACACGGCCACACUGGCACUGAAACACGGGCCAAGAUCCUACGGGAGGCAGCUCUAUCUGNCCAAGAACUCGAGC
RNAcentral lists this small RNA (303 nucleotides) under uncultured bacterium. RNAcentral describes it as "bacterial SSU rRNA". It matches the Rfam family "Bacterial small subunit ribosomal RNA", at positions 61 to 352 of the family's 1533-position model. The record is from RNAcentral.